AGUGAACGCUGGCGGCAGGCCUAAUACAUGCCAGUCGAACGGCAGCACAGUGGAGCUUGCUCCAUGGGUGGCGAGUGGCGGACGGGUGAGGAAUACAUGGGAAUCUGCCCAGUCGUGGGGGAUAACGUAGGGAAACUUACGCUAAUACCGCAUGCGCCCUUCGGGGGAAAGCCGGGGACCUUCGGGCCUGUCGCGAUUGGAUGAGCCCAUGUUCGAUUAGCUAGUUGGCGGGGUAAAGGCCCACCAAGGCGACGAUCGAUAGCUGGUCUGAGAGGAUGAUCAGCCACACUGGAACUGAGACACGGCCCAGACUCCUACGGGAGGUAGCAGUAGGGAAUAUUGGACAAUGGGCGCAAGCCUGAUCCAGCCAUGCCGCGUGAGUGAAGAAGGCCCUCGGGUUGUAAAGCUCUUUUGUCCGGGAAGAAAAGCAUCGGGCUAAUACCUCGGUGUUCUGACGGUACCGGAAGAAUAAGCACCGGCUAACUUCGUG
This 490-nucleotide ribosomal RNA is filed under the name uncultured bacterium. RNAcentral describes it as "partial 16S ribosomal RNA". It matches the Rfam family "Bacterial small subunit ribosomal RNA", at positions 29 to 507 of the family's 1533-position model. The record is from RNAcentral.